RNAcentral lists this ribosomal RNA (474 nucleotides) under uncultured bacterium. RNAcentral describes it as "bacterial SSU rRNA". It matches the Rfam family "Bacterial small subunit ribosomal RNA", at positions 328 to 793 of the family's 1533-position model. The record is from RNAcentral.
UCAGUCGACUCCUACGGGAGGCAGCAGUGGGGGAAUAUUGCACAAUGGGCGCAAGCCUGAUGCAGCCAUGCCGCGUGUGUGAAGAAGGCCUUCGGGUUGUAAAGCACUUUCAGUCGUGAGGAAGGUAGUGUAGUUAAUAGCUGCAUUAUUUGACGUUAGCGACAGAAGAAGCACCGGCUAACUCCGUGCCAGCAGCCGCGGUAAUACGGAGGGUGCGAGCGUUAAUCGGAAUUACUGGGCGUAAAGCGCAUGCAGGUGGUUUGUUAAGUCAGAUGUGAAAGCCCCGGGGCUCAACCUCGGAAUAGCAUUUGAAACUGGCAGACUAGAGUACUGUAGAGGGGGUAGAAUUUCAGGUGUAGCGGUGAAAUGCGUAGAGAUCUGAAGGAAUACCGGUGGCGAAGGCGGCCCCCUGGACAGAUACUGACACUCAGAUGCGAAAGCGUGGGGAGCAAACAGGAUUAGAUACCCUGGUAG